GGCCUCGUAGCUCAGCUGGCGAAGGCGGCAUCCAAGCGUGAGUUCGAAUCCCACCGAGGCUA
RNAcentral lists this transfer RNA (62 nucleotides) under Echinostoma caproni. It matches the Rfam family "tRNA". From Rfam's summary of the family: Transfer RNA (tRNA) molecules are approximately 80 nucleotides in length. Their secondary structure includes four short double-helical elements and three loops (D, anti-codon, and T loops). Further hydrogen bonds mediate the characteristic L-shaped molecular structure. tRNAs have two regions of fundamental functional importance: the anti-codon, which is responsible for specific mRNA codon recognition, and the 3' end, to which the tRNAs corresponding amino acid is attached (by aminoacyl-tRNA synthetases). tRNAs cope with the degeneracy of the genetic code in two manners: having more than one tRNA (with a specific anti-codon) for a particular amino acid; and 'wobble' base-pairing, i.e. permitting non-standard base-pairing at the 3rd anti-codon position. Lineage: Eukaryota; Metazoa; Platyhelminthes; Trematoda; Plagiorchiida; Echinostomatidae. The record is from Rfam by way of RNAcentral.